AAAAAGGCAAUGAAGAGAAGAGUAGGUAGAGGAAGUAAUGAUAGCGAGUUGAUGAUGGUGGAAGAUCAACAUGAAGCCUGUAUUGAAGAACAUCUCUGAGUCCCUAAUCGAAAUACAUUUGUAGAGUAGGCUUAGGCGGAACCAAACCGUUAUCUAUUGGGCAGUAUCGAAUUUUUUAUUCCGUACUGAGAAGAGAGCUAUGCUAUUUAGCUAAUUAAGGUGGUACCGCGGAGACAAUUAUGUCCUUCGUCCUUUAU
Molecule: non-coding RNA, 257 nt
Filed under: Andreesenella formicacetica
Lineage: Bacteria; Bacillati; Bacillota; Clostridia; Peptostreptococcales; Natronincolaceae
Description: Clostridium formicaceticum T-box sequence
Rfam family: T-box leader
About the family: Uncharged tRNA acts as the effector for transcription antitermination of genes in the T-box leader family. T-boxes are found upstream of many aminoacyl-tRNA synthetase genes and some amino acid biosynthetic genes usually in Gram-positive bacteria. The anticodon of a specific tRNA base pairs to a specifier sequence within the T-box motif, and the NCCA acceptor tail of the tRNA base pairs to a conserved bulge in the T-box antiterminator hairpin.
Source: RNAcentral